This 700-nucleotide ribosomal RNA is filed under the name Bacillus sp. JCIR1. RNAcentral describes it as "bacterial SSU rRNA". It matches the Rfam family "Bacterial small subunit ribosomal RNA", at positions 61 to 743 of the family's 1533-position model. Lineage: Bacteria; Bacillati; Bacillota; Bacilli; Caryophanales; Bacillaceae. The record is from RNAcentral.
GUCGAGCGACUGAUUAGAAGCUUGCUUCUAUGACGUUAGCGGCGGACGGGUGAGUAACACGUGGGCAACCUGCCUGUAAGACUGGGAUAACUUCGGGAAACCGAAGCUAAUACCGGAUAGGAUCUUCUCCUUCAUGGGAGAUGAUUGAAAGAUGGUUUCGGCUAUCACUUACAGAUGGGCCCGCGGUGCAUUAGCUAGUUGGUGAGGUAACGGCUCACCAAGGCCACGAUGCAUAGCCGACCUGAGAGGGUGAUCGGCCACACUGGGACUGAGACACGGCCCAGACUCCUACGGGAGGCAGCAGUAGGGAAUCUUCCGCAAUGGACGAAAGUCUGACGGAGCAACGCCGCGUGAGUGAUGAAGGCUUUCGGGUCGUAAAACUCUGUUGUUAGGGAAGAACAAGUAUGAGAGUAACUGCUCGUACCUUGACGGUACCUAACCAGAAAGCCACGGCUAACUACGUGCCAGCAGCCGCGGUAAUACGUAGGUGGCAAGCGUUAUCCGGAAUUAUUGGGCGUAAAGCGCGCGCAGGCGGUUUCUUAAGUCUGAUGUGAAAGCCCACGGCUCAACCGUGGAUGGUCAUUGGAAACUGGGGAACUUGAGUGCAGAAGAGAAAAGCGGAAUUCCCCGUGUAGCGGUGAAAUGCGUAGAGAUGUGGAGGAACACCAGUGGCGAAGGCGGCUUUUUGGUCUGUAACUGA